ACUGUGUCUCGGGCCGGGUCGCCUUGUCUGUUAUGUGAGCAUUAACUGUGGUACUCAAACAGGCUGUAAACUCACACACGUACACAUACACUCGCGGCAUGGUAUUGAGGCCAGGAGUUUUACAAGUGGGUCUUCUGUUUCUUCUCUUGCCCAGAGACCUGCCUGUAUCCAGUUCCCCUGUAAACGACCCGGAUGUUCGCCUGUCCUUCUGUCCAGUGUGUGGACUAGCCCCCCUGAACACACGCAGAAUGGGCGGGCAGGAUGCUCCGGCAGGUGCGUGGCCAUGGCAGGUCAGCCUACAUCACACUGCAUUCCGUGGUCACUUCUGUGGAGGAUCCCUCAUCAACAACCAAUGGGUGCUGACCGCCGCCCACUGCUU
Engraulis encrasicolus (European anchovy) is the source of this 379-nucleotide long non-coding RNA. RefSeq lists it as uncharacterized. NCBI's taxonomy places the organism in Eukaryota, Metazoa, Chordata, Actinopteri, Clupeiformes, Engraulidae. The transcript is spliced from 3 exons. The record is from RefSeq and is a predicted model, not a curated record.